GGCUGCUCCAGCAAGCCCCGCAUUCUGAGGCUUCGUUGGGUGAGGAGCAGACACCAGUGUUUGUGCCUCUAAACUUCAGAGGACAGAUGUUAAUUUCUGCUGAGAAUUUCCUUAUGCAGUACUGGGUGCAGCUAUAAAUUUCUACAGCUCUGCCAAGGAUUUAUGUUAAUAGAAGCCAUCGCUUAACAUCUUGGGUCUCAACUUAGCUUUAAAAUAGGGAAGAUAAAAUCCACUUCAUAAAGUGGUAAAGUUUGAAUCAACUCACGUAAAGUACUUAGAACAGCAUCAGAAACACGAAAUGCAAGCUGUGCUGCCUGGAGUUGGAGGAGCGGUGAUGCACACACUCCCUCGGCCACCUCAGCUGGUGUUUCACUGGGUCAUGGGCACCCCAAGUCUGCCAGCUCCAAGCCCAGCACAGCCCUAGAACUAGCCCAGGAAUUGCAGUCCUUGUGGCUUAGACUGCCUUUUAAGUUUACUUGGGACCCUAGAGCCCUUUAGCCCAUGAUGAUGGGGGUUGCUGGAACUCAGAUUCCCACUACCAGGAUGGAUAAUUUCCCUGUGGCUAGGGCUAGUCUAAAAGCUCCCUCCAUGGGUGCUGGCUGAAGUCUGCCUUGUAUUGCUUUCCAUUAUGACAGGGCAGCACUGAAUUCCAGUGCAAAGCCCCACAAUUACUGUACUGUCCUUCCCCCAAGUGUACAGAUUCUCUCUUCUGCCCCACAUAGUGCCACCAGGGGAUGGGGGAGCAGUGGUGUCAGGAAUUUAAGACUGUCUUUCCUACCCUCUUCAGUGUCUCUUUCCUUAACAUGAUGUUAAAACCAGGUACUGUGAUCACUCACUUGCUUUUUGGUUCUUAUGAAGGUGAUUUCUUCUGUGGAUAGUAGUUCAAUUUGGUGUUCCUGUGAGGAGGACAGUCACUGAAGGGUUCUGUUUGGCCAUCUUGCUCCCUUGUUUUUUGUUUACAUUGUCUAUGUCACCUCACAUAGUCCAGAAUGUACUGAGUGAAUUUAAUAAAUGUUUGUUGCAGUAAUGAAUAAACGAGAAGUAAACUUUCUUUAAGUUUUGGAACCUAAAAUAAUAAGUUUUAGUUGGGAAAACUCCCUAAUAACAUCCUUGGGAGUACAAGUAUGAUUAACAAAGAUUACUUAUCUCAGAAAGGUAAAUUUUAUAUGUGAAA
This 1174-nucleotide long non-coding RNA is filed under the name Homo sapiens (human). RNAcentral's name for it is "HSALNT0299981". Lineage: Eukaryota; Metazoa; Chordata; Mammalia; Primates; Hominidae. The record is from RNAcentral.